AUGGGUGACAUCACUCCCCGGGCCAGCCAAUGGCUGCGGGCCGGCUCCGCCCAUCUCCCUUUAUUAACUCCUCGGCCACGCCCCCUACCCCCCCGCCCUCGGGGCUGCUUUGCAAAGAUGGGGGGUGGGGGAGAAGGGGGAGGCACGUCUGGAGAUAUGUUAUUUAAAAAAAAAAAAAAAAAAAAAAAAAAAACACCCGCGUGCGUGCACAGAUGCGCCUCUCCCCGGGAUGCUCGCGAGCCGCGGCGAACCGGGCCAGUCCGGGCCGGGGCCCGCACCCCCUUUGUGCCGGGGUCCCCCGGAGCCGCGGACCUGGCGCGCUCGCUGUCCGGGUGCACAGGCUCAGGCUCGGGCUCGGGCUCGGGCGCGCGCGGCGGGGCGGGCGGGGCGGGCGGGUGCGGGCGGGUGCGGCCCGGCGCGCCCCCGGUGGGUGCAGCUGCUUCCCGGAGCCGCGCGCGCCCGAGCCCGCCCGGGGAGCCCGCCGCGCCCGGGUCGACGGAAGGUGGCGCUUUAACACAACGCCUCCCGGGCACGUGGGCUCGCUCCUCGCUCUCCCCCUCGGUCUCUCCUCCUUUUCCCUUUCUCCCUUUUUUUCUAAGGCAAAGAAAGCCAUAUAAAGCCCGCGCGGCUUCCUUCUCCCCCCGCCCCCGCCCCCGCCCCCACCCCCACCCCCCGUCUGCAUUUUCUGUUUUGUCCCCUUUGCUCCGCAGGUUUUCCAUCCUCGGAGGCGCCGGGGCCGCGCGCGUCCCGCCCCAGGCGGAGGCCGGAGUAACGGUCUGGGGGUUUGGCUGGGGCCGGGUCCUCGCGUUCAAUCUGGCCACUCCGGAGGCAGGUUCUAAACCGGGUCCCGGGCCCCGCGAGCUCCGGCGCGGCCCCGCCCCCGCGCCCGCCCCGCGCCCUCCCCCUCCCCUCCCCUCCCCUCCCCCCGCGCCCCGCGUCCCCCUCUUUGUCCCCUCCCCCUCUCUCGGUCCCCGGCGUCCUCCCUCCCGACCCUCUAGCGAGGAGCCCGCACGCCUCCCGGGGCGCGCGCUGUUUUAA
This 1038-nucleotide long non-coding RNA is filed under the name Canis lupus familiaris (dog). RNAcentral's name for it is "lncRNA (ENSCAFG00030016733.1)". Lineage: Eukaryota; Metazoa; Chordata; Mammalia; Carnivora; Canidae. The record is from RNAcentral.